CCUACGGGAGGCUGCAGUGAGGAAUAUUGGUCAAUGGGCGAGAGCCUGAACCAGCCAAGUCGCGUGAAGGAUGACGGCCCUACGGGUUGUAAACUUCUUUUGUCAGGGAGCAAUUGAGUCCACGUGUGGGCUUAGCGAGAGUACCUGAAGAAAAAGCAUCGGCUAACUCCGUGCCAGCAGCCGCGGUAUUACGGAGGAUGCGAGCGUUAUCCGGAUUUAUUGGGUUUAAAGGGUGCGUAGGCGGAAUAUCAAGUCAGCGGUAAAAAUUCGGGGCUCAACCUCGUCGUGCCGUUGAAACUGGUGGUCUUGAGUGGGCGAGAGGUAUGCGGAAUGCGUGGUGUAGCGGUGAAAUGCAUAGAUAUCACGCAGAACUCCGAUUGCGAAGGCAGCAUACGGGCG
This 399-nucleotide ribosomal RNA is filed under the name uncultured bacterium. RNAcentral's name for it is "partial 16S ribosomal RNA". It matches the Rfam family "Bacterial small subunit ribosomal RNA", at positions 338 to 734 of the family's 1533-position model. The record is from RNAcentral.